Molecule: ribosomal RNA, 494 nt
Filed under: uncultured bacterium
Lineage: Bacteria
Description: partial 16S ribosomal RNA
Rfam family: Bacterial small subunit ribosomal RNA
Source: RNAcentral
GACGAACGCUGGCGGCGUGCUUAACACAUGCAAGUCGAACGGUGAAGCGCCUUCCUUUUUGGUGGGUGUGGAUGAGUGGCGAACGGGUGAGUAACACUUGAGUAACCUGCCCCCUUCUUCUGGAUAACCGCAUGAAAGUGUGGCUAAUACGGGAUAUUCUGGGUCUGUCGCAUGAUGGGUCUGGGAAAGAUAUUGUUUCGGUGGGGGAUGGGCUCGCGGCCUAUCAGCUUGUUGGGGGGGUGAUGGCCUACCAAGGCGGUGACGGGUAGCCGGCCUGAGAGGGUGGACGGUCACACUGGGACUGAGACACGGCCGAGACUGCUACGGGAGGCAGAAGUGGGGAAUAUUGCACAAUGGGCGAAAGCGUGAUGCAGCGACGCCGCGUGAGGGAUGGAGGCCUUCGGGUUGUGAACCUCUUUCGCCAGUGAAGCAGGCCUGCCUCGUUUGUGGGUGGGUUGACGGUAGCUGGAUAAGAAGCGCCGGCUAACUACGUG